RNAcentral lists this ribosomal RNA (372 nucleotides) under uncultured organism. RNAcentral's name for it is "bacterial SSU rRNA". It matches the Rfam family "Bacterial small subunit ribosomal RNA", at positions 526 to 896 of the family's 1533-position model. The record is from RNAcentral.
CGUAGGAGGCAAGCGUUAUCCGGAUUCACUGGGCGUAAAGCGCGUGCAGGUGGCUCGGUAAGUUGGGCGUGAAAUCUCCCGGCUCAACUGGGAGAGGUCGUUCAAUACUACCGAGCUAGAGAGCAGAAGAGGAAGAUGGAAUUCCCGGUGUAGUGGUGAAAUGCGUAGAUAUCGGGAGGAACACCAGUGGCGAAGGCGAUCUUCUGGUCUGUCUCUGACACUCAGACGCGACAGCUAGGGUAGUAAACGGGAUUAGAGACCCCGGUAAUCCUAGCCGUAAACGAUGUGAACUUGGCGUUGGUGGGUUAAACUCCAUCAGUGCCGAAGCAAACGCGAUAAGUUCACCGCCUGGGGACUACGGCCGCAAGGUUA